RNAcentral lists this ribosomal RNA (814 nucleotides) under uncultured bacterium. RNAcentral's name for it is "bacterial SSU rRNA". It matches the Rfam family "Bacterial small subunit ribosomal RNA", at positions 45 to 858 of the family's 1533-position model. The record is from RNAcentral.
AGCUUAACACAUGCAAGUCGAGGGGCAGCAUGUCCAGCAAUGGAUGAUGGCGACCGGCGGAAGGGUGCGUAACGCGUGAGCAACAUGCCCUAUACAGGGAGAUACACCAGGGAAACUUGGUCUAAUAUCCCAUAGCAUUCAUUGAAGGCAUCUUUAAUGAAUUAAAGCUUCGGUGGUAUAGGAUUGGCUCGCGUGACAUUAGCCAGAUGGUGAGGUAACGGCUCACCAUAGCAAUGAUGUCUAGGGGUUUUGAGAGGAAGGCCCCCCACACUGGGACUGAGACACGGCCCAGACUCCUACGGGAGGCAGCAGUGAGGAAUAUUGGACAAUGGAUGGAAAUCUGAUCCAGCCAUGCCGCGUGCAGGAAGACGGCCUUAUGGGUUGUAAACUGCUUUUAUACGGGAGCAAUAAGGGUUACGAGUAAUCCGAUGAGAGUACUGUAUGAAUAAGGAUCGGCUAACUCCGUGCCAGCAGCCGCGGUAAUACGGAGGAUCCGAGCGUUAUCCGGAAUUAUUGGGUUUAAAGGGUGCGUAGGCGGCCAUUUAAGUCAGCGGUGAAAUUUUGCAGCUUAACUGUAACAGUGCCGUUGAUACUGUUUGGCUAGGAUUUGGUUGUAGUGUGCGGAAUGUGUGGUGUAGCGGUGAAAUGCUUAGAUAUCACACAGAACACCGAUUGCGAAGGCAGCACACUAAGUCAUUAUUGACGCUGAGGCACGAAAGUGUGGGGAUCAAACAGGAUUAGAUACCCUGGUAGUCCACACUGUAAACGAUGAUAACUCGCUGUCGGCGAUACACAGUCGGGGCCAAGCGAAAGC